GCAGAGUCAGCUCUGACUUUGUCCUCCUGGGUCCGCAGCCUGGAGGCAGGAGGCCCUAGGAGGACAGUGCAGCCCCUCCCCACACCGCUCCCGGGGGAGAGAGCGAGGCCAGGCUGACCACUGCGGGCUCUGUGCUCACAGACCAUGGGUUCCAGAGAGCAGCCCUUCAGUCACCUGGGCUCACCUGCUGACGUAGCUGCCGUGAUCAUCAUCCACUUUUUAGACAAGGCUGAAGGUCGCACUGGUUCCACAACUUGCCCAAAGGCAUUCUCUCACAAGCAAAAGCCCUGAGGCGGGAGUAAAGAGCCAGAAGUGUGCAUUUGCUUAUCGUCUCUGCAUUGGUUCCACAGAGACCACCAGUCUCCACCCAGCAGAACCAAGCCGACUGGCUUGGAUGUGCCUGCUCUGCCCACCCCAGAGGGACGAGGCUGAGGGGCAGGACACCGGCUCCCUCACCCGCCUUCACAGAACAGAUAGAACCGUCUCUCAGCGAGGUGUCAAGGUUUCCGUGGAAACAAGA
Suricata suricatta (meerkat) is the source of this 520-nucleotide long non-coding RNA. RefSeq lists it as uncharacterized. NCBI's taxonomy places the organism in Eukaryota, Metazoa, Chordata, Mammalia, Carnivora, Herpestidae. The transcript is spliced from 3 exons. The record is from RefSeq and is a predicted model, not a curated record.